Molecule: ribosomal RNA, 329 nt
Filed under: uncultured eukaryote
Lineage: Eukaryota
Description: partial 18S ribosomal RNA
Rfam family: Eukaryotic small subunit ribosomal RNA
Source: RNAcentral
CCCUUAGAUGUUCUGGGCCGCACGCGCGCUACACUGAUGCAUUCAACGAGUCUAAAACCUGCUCUGAUAGGGGUGGGUAAUCUUUUGAAUGUGCAUCGUGAUUGGGAUAGAUGAUUGCAAUUUUUCAUCUUCAACGAGGAAUGCCUAGUAAACGCAAGUCAUCAGCUUGCAUUGAUUACGUCCCUGCCCUUUGUACACACCGCCCGUCGCUCCUACCGAUUGAAUGUGUUGGUGAGGAGCUCGGAUUGGCAGCAGUUGGUGGUUCGCCACCGGCUAUUGCUGAGAAGUCCUCCAAACCGCCCCAUUUAGAGGAAGGAGAAGUCGUAACA